GACGAACGCUGGCGGCGUGGAUUAGGCAUGCAAGUCGAACGGUAUCAUCCUUUCGGGGGUGAGAGAGUGGCGAACUGGUGAGUAACACGUAGGUUAUCUACCCUCAAGACGGGGACAACCCAGGGAAACUUGGGCUAAUACCGGAUGUGAGCAACUUUUAGUUGUUUGAAAGGUGGCGUAAGCUGUCGCUUGGGGAUGAGCCUGCGUCCUAUUAGUUAGUUGGUGAGGUAACGGCUCACCUAGGCAAUGAUAGGUAGGCGGCCUUAACGGGUGGUCGCCCACACUGGGAUUGAGAUACGGCCCAGACUCCUACGGGAGGCAGCAGUCGAGAAUAGUCUACAAUGGUCGGAAGACUGAUAGUGCGACGCCGCGUGAACGAUGAAUCCCUUCGGGGUGUAAAGUUCUUUUAUAUGUGAGCAGUGCUUCUUAUAUUAACAGUAUGGGGAGAGAGAUAUUAGCAUAUGAAUAAGCAACGGCUAACUCCGUGCCAGCAGCCGCGGUAAUA
This 505-nucleotide ribosomal RNA is filed under the name uncultured bacterium. RNAcentral describes it as "bacterial SSU rRNA". It matches the Rfam family "Bacterial small subunit ribosomal RNA", at positions 28 to 525 of the family's 1533-position model. The record is from RNAcentral.